RNAcentral lists this ribosomal RNA (253 nucleotides) under uncultured bacterium. Its description in RNAcentral is "partial 16S ribosomal RNA". It matches the Rfam family "Bacterial small subunit ribosomal RNA", at positions 524 to 776 of the family's 1533-position model. The record is from RNAcentral.
UACGUAGGGUCCGAGCGUUGUCCGGAUUCAUUGGGCGUAAAGAGCUCGUAGGCGGCUGCUCAAGUCGAAUGUGAAAACUCGAGGCUCAACCUCGAGCCUGCAUUCGAUACUGGGCGGCUAGAGUCUGGUAGGGGGAUCUGGAAUUCCUGGUGUAGCGGUGGAAUGCGCAGAUAUCAGGAGGAACACCGGUGGCGAAGGCGCCACUCUGGGCCGAAACUGACGCUGAGGAGCGAAAGCGUGGGUAGCAAACAGG